This 178-nucleotide unclassified non-coding RNA is filed under the name uncultured fungus. RNAcentral's name for it is "sequence contains ITS2". The record is from RNAcentral. Lineage: Eukaryota; Fungi.
AAUCUCAAUCCCCCCAGGUUUAUGAUCUGGGUUGGGACUUGGACUUGGGCGCUGCCGGUUACAUGGCUCGCCUCAAAUGACUUGGUGGAUCUCUCUGCAUCCGUGACAGACGUAAUAAGUUUCGUCUUGUCCCUUGCUGUCUGAGUCUGCUCCUAACCUGCCAUUGCGCACUUUUAGA